This 199-nucleotide ribosomal RNA is filed under the name Bacillus paranthracis. Its description in RNAcentral is "partial 16S ribosomal RNA". It matches the Rfam family "Bacterial small subunit ribosomal RNA", at positions 1 to 193 of the family's 1533-position model. The record is from RNAcentral. Lineage: Bacteria; Bacillati; Bacillota; Bacilli; Caryophanales; Bacillaceae.
UUUAUUGGAGAGUUUGAUCCUGGCUCAGGAUGAACGCUGGCGGCGUGCCUAAUACAUGCAAGUCGAGCGAAUGGAUUAAGAGCUUGCUCUUAUGAAGUUAGCGGCGGACGGGUGAGUAACACGUGGGUAACCUGCCCAUAAGACUGGGAUAACUCCGGGAAACCGGGGCUAAUACCGGGUAACAUUUUGAACCGCAUGG